Molecule: unclassified non-coding RNA, 315 nt
Filed under: plant metagenome
Description: partial contains 5.8S ribosomal RNA, internal transcribed spacer 2, and large subunit ribosomal RNA
Rfam family: 5.8S ribosomal RNA (bases 1-105)
Source: RNAcentral
AAAAUGCGAUAAGUAAUGUGAAUUGCAGAAUUCAGUGAAUCAUCGAAUCUUUGAACGCACAUUGCGCCCGCCAGUAUUCUGGCGGGCAUGCCUGUUCGAGCGUCAUUUCAACCCUCAAGCCCCCGGGUUUGGUGUUGGGGAUCGGGCUGCGGUUCUACCGCGUCCCGGCCCCGAAAUCUAGUGGCGGUCUCGCUGCAGCCUCCAUUGCGUAGUAGCUAACACCUCGCAACUGGAACGCGGCGCGGCCAAGCCGUUAAACCCCCAACUUCUGAAUGUUGACCCCGGAUCAGGUAGGAAUACCCGCUGAACUUAAGC